RNAcentral lists this ribosomal RNA (289 nucleotides) under uncultured bacterium. RNAcentral's name for it is "partial 16S ribosomal RNA". It matches the Rfam family "Bacterial small subunit ribosomal RNA", at positions 334 to 620 of the family's 1533-position model. The record is from RNAcentral.
GUUACCUACGGGGCGCAGCAGUGAGGAAUAUUGGUCAAUGGCCGCAGGGCUGAACCAGCCAAGUCGCGUGAGGGAUGACGGUCCUAUGGAUUGUAAACCUCUUUUGUCAGGGAGCAAAGGGCGCCACGUGUGGCGUUUUGCGAGUACCUGAAGAAAAAGCAUCGGCUAACUCCGUGCCAGCAGCCGCGGUAAUACGGAGGAUGCGAGCGUUAUCCGGAUUUAUUGGGGUUAAAGGGUGCGCAGGCGGGAUGUCCAGUCAGCGGUAAAAUUUCGGGGCUCAAACCCGUCG